ACAGUUAAAUUUGAAGGGAUGUCCUAGUCCACGUUCUGGUCAUCGUAUGGUAUUAUACAAACACAAGAUUAUAAUUUUUGGUGGCUUCUAUGACACUCUACGUGAAGUAAGGUAUUACAAUGAUCUUUAUGUGUUUGACCUGGACCAAUA
Long non-coding RNA from Camelina sativa (false flax), 150 nucleotides. RefSeq lists it as uncharacterized. NCBI's taxonomy places the organism in Eukaryota, Viridiplantae, Streptophyta, Magnoliopsida, Brassicales, Brassicaceae. The record is from RefSeq and is a predicted model, not a curated record.